GACAGAGGGGGCAAGCGUUGCUCGGAAUUACUGGGCUUAAAGGGCGCGUAGGCGGCUCCGCUAGUCGGGGGUGAAAUCCCACAGCUUAACUGUGGAAGUGCCUUCGAUACUGCGGGGCUCGAGCGAGGUAGGGGUCGAGGGAACUUCUGGUGGAGCGGUGAAAUGCGUUGAUAUCAGAAGGAACGCCGGUGGCGAAAGCGCUCGACUGGACCUCUUCUGACGCUGAGGCGCGAAAGCUAGGGGAGCAAACGGG
Molecule: ribosomal RNA, 253 nt
Filed under: uncultured bacterium
Lineage: Bacteria
Description: partial 16S ribosomal RNA
Rfam family: Bacterial small subunit ribosomal RNA
Source: RNAcentral